RNAcentral lists this ribosomal RNA (460 nucleotides) under uncultured bacterium. RNAcentral's name for it is "partial 16S ribosomal RNA". It matches the Rfam family "Bacterial small subunit ribosomal RNA", at positions 338 to 795 of the family's 1533-position model. The record is from RNAcentral.
CCUACGGGGGGCAGCAGUGAGGAAUAUUGGUCAAUGGACGCAAGUCUGAACCAGCCAUGCCGCGUGCAGGAAGACGGCUCUAUGAGUUGUAAACUGCUUUUGUACGAGGGUAAACGCAGAUACGCGUAUCUGUCUGAAAAUAUCGUACGAAUAAGGAUCGGCUAACUCCUUGCCAGCAGCCGCGGUACUACGGAGGAUUCAAGCGUUAUCCGGAUUUAUUGGGUUUAAAGGGUGCGUAGGCGGUCGGAUAAGUUAGAGGUGAAAUCCCGAGGCUCAACUUCGGAAUUGCCUCUGAUACUGUUCGGCUAGAGAGUAGUUGCGGUAGGCGGAAUGUAUGGUGUAGCGGUGAAAUGCUUAGAGAUCGUACAGAACACCGAUUGCGAAGGCAGCUUACCAAGCUACUUCUGACGUUGAGGCACGAAAGCGUGGGGAGCGAACAGGAUUAGAUACCCCAGUAGUC